RNAcentral lists this long non-coding RNA (565 nucleotides) under Gallus gallus (chicken). Its description in RNAcentral is "lncRNA (ENSGALG00010028217.1)". Lineage: Eukaryota; Metazoa; Chordata; Aves; Galliformes; Phasianidae. The record is from RNAcentral.
GUUGUCUCGUCCCCCUCCCCCGUAUCCGAACCCCUCAGGCGGAACGUUGUAUCCUUUAUCAGAAUUACGUCAGUGUUACCUGACUCAAGGGGGCGAAGGAAGCUGUGAUCUACACGGGCAGGAUCAACUUAGUGCCCACAUGGGGAGGGACCAGACAAAAGACCGAAGCCAACUCCAGAACAACUGAGGGACAGACGAUGGGAUCAAGAACCACUCGUCAAGAGGAGCACUACACCUGCAACGCUGACACUUCCAAUGUUGCUGAUAUUUAUGGUGUCCAUGGCGAUUACAGAGUGUCACAAACAACUACAAUGGACGCAAGAACAUAUGCAGAAGAUUAAAGUGAUCCCUUUGGAAGCUGGCUGGACGGACUGUUUGGGGGAACGGGUUCACGGUUAAAGCAAUUGCUUAAAGCUCUCGCAGUAGGAUUUGCAAUCUUUGUGUGUAUUCUAAUCUGUCUUCCAUGCUUUGUAGGAUGCUUGCAGAACUGCCUUCAACGAAUGAUGGACAAGACUUUUGACUAUCACAUUGAGUAUCAUAGAUUGCGUGAAAAAUUAUAGAGGGG